RNAcentral lists this long non-coding RNA (24264 nucleotides) under Trifolium pratense (red clover). RNAcentral describes it as "long non-coding RNA (TPRA_LNC011616)". The record is from RNAcentral. Lineage: Eukaryota; Viridiplantae; Streptophyta; Magnoliopsida; Fabales; Fabaceae.
AUGACGGUCAUGUAUGUUUGGCAUUACGGCACACUCAAAAAGUACGAAUUCGAUGUUCAAAACAAGGUUUCCAUCAACUGGCUACUCGGCAUUGCUCCAAGCAUAGGUAUUGUACGAGUUCGUGGGGUCGGACUUAUACAUACAGACCUAGUAUCAGGCAUUCCUGUUAUCUUCUCCCACUUUGUGACCAACUUGCCAGCCUUCCAUCAGAUCCUAGUCUUUCUUUGCAUCAAACAUGUGCCGGUUCCGCAUGUCAGACCCGAGGAAAGGUUUCUAGUCGGCCGUGUUGGUCCGCGAAAUUUCAGAAUCUAUAGGUGCAUAGUGCGGUAUGGUUACCGCGACAUCCACAAAGAUGAUAUCGAAUUUGAAAAUGACCUUUUAUGCAGCAUAGCCGAGUUUAUUCGCACAGGAAGCUUUGGACUAUCUUCAAACGAGGAGCUCGAAAAAAUUGAAAAAAUGACAGUUGUUGGGACAUAUUCUGCACAAACUAUUUUGAGGAACGACAAUAAUAUGGAUAAUAAUUUCGACUCAGAAGAAACGUCGUCCGAGCUUAAGGAGAUAAAGUCACCUCAAGUGAUUCAACAGAAGAAAAAGGUAAGGUUUUUGGUACCGGAGAGUCCAAAAAUAGACUCAGAAGCAAAAGAAGAAUUAGAGGAAGUGAUGGAAGCAAGAGAAGCUGGAAUAGCUUACAUUAUAGGACAUUCAUACAUGAAGGCUAAACCAGGGUCUAGUACUAUAAAGAAAAUAGCUAUUAAUUUUGUUUAUGAAUUUCUAAGGAGGAAUAGUAGAGCACCUUCAUUUGUACUUGGUGUACCUCAUGCAUCAUCUUUAGAAGUUGGUAUGAUGUACCAAGUUUAAAUUUUGGUUUAAAAAAUGAUAGAGUUAUUAUCAAUGUACAUAUUUUUAUUGUUAUAUAGUUUAGUUAAAAGGCCACACACCAUGUCAAGUGGUGGUAGAUAGAUAGUAGUGUACAAGUUUUUCCCUUCUUUAUUACGGUUAUACCUUAUCACUUACAAUUCAUUUGGCAUUUUUUUUGAACAAAAUUCAUUUGGCAUUUUGUUUUUUCAUUAAGCCAAUAGUAAUUUAUAUCUCAGUUGUUUAUAUGCUCUCUCAGUUUGGCUGAGUGUUUAUUUAUACUUUUGUUGGACAAAACAUGAUGUUGCAUGAGAAAUCUGUUUUAAGGACAAAACAUGAUGUUGCGUUUGUCUCUGCACGUUUGAGGUGUGACCUAUAUUUACAUCCACAUUAUCACAUGCAUGUACUGUAUGUAUGCUUUAGGCAUAUAACUUAAAUAACAAGUGCAAUGUGUUUGAUUGGGCAGUUUUCGAUUUGUGAUCGGCGCUUGUAAAGAGUAUCCUUUGUAGAAUGUCCUUGUGAUCGGUGCUAUAUAUACUUGUCUCGUCUUUGUUCAUCAUUCGCAUCCAACUUUAGCGUUUUCAAAAUUGUUUCACUUGCUUUUCGGUUUUCGGAUAAAAUGGCUGAUGCCUUUGAUUCUCUAUGCGACACCGUGUCUGGUAAGGAUUCUUGGUGGUUCUGAAGGCUGAUCAGAUAAAUUCUCUUGAAAUGGUGCUCAUCGAUGACAUGGUUUGUUUCAAAUUUCUUGAAAUUCAGGUUCAAUGUGUAGAUAUUUGAGUUAGGCCAUAGUUGUCCUUAUUAUGUUCUGCAUUUGCUAUAUAUAUAUAUGUAUAUAUAUAUAUAUGGCUUUUUAAGCGCAUCCAUUAGUUCUUCUUUCUGGUUGAUCUAUUUUUGUUGCAGUGGAAUUUCGUAUUCGACCUAUUUGUGCACACACCGAGUUUAUUUUGCCUAAUAAUCAAUGAUCAUCCCUUUCGUGAUAGUUUUGUGNNNNNNNNNNNNNNNNNNNNNNNNNNNNNNNNNNNNNNNNNNNNNNNNNNNNNNNNNNNNNNNNNNNNNNNNNNNNNNNNNNNNNNNNNNNNNNNNNNNNUCGUAUUCGACCUAUUUGUGCACACACCGAGUUUAUUUUGCCUAAUAAUCAAUGAUCAUCCCUUUCGUGAUAGUUUUGUGGAACUCCACCUAUUAAUCAUGAUAAUCAUAUUGGUGCAAAUAUUUGACUUUAAUUUUUUUUUAAGAAGCUAAAUUAUUCCACCUAGUUCUCGUGAGCUUAACUCGGUUGGUAGGGAGAAAUAUUACACUAUAUGUGCAGGAGUUGAGAUUCGAACCCCGGACACUCCCCUUAUUCACCUAUAAAUUUUUUAGCCACUACGCUACUUGACCAAAAAUAUUAAAUGACCCAAAUUGACACAAGAAAUAAUCGAACAAGAGACCUUAAAGAUGAGUCACUCCCAGGUCCCAAGCAAAUACAGACCAACCUGGAUGAGUUUUAUUUGACUUUAAUUAUAACUACUUUUUAUUUUUUGAAGGUAUGCCUAUGAGUGGUUAAUAAUACUCCACACUAAAUCGGAGUAAUUCAUAUAAUAAUAAUAAUAAUAAUAAUGAUUUUACUAUCAUGUGCAAAUUUGCAUAUAGGAAGAAAUUGAAAACCGUUUGUAUUGGAAUUUGUAUAUUUUAUAUUAAAUAUAUAACUUUUAAAUUAAUAAUUAUUAUUUUUUAUAUAUUUUAAUUAAUUAUUAUUAUUUUUUAUAUAAAAAGUUACUACAUGUAGUUGCUUUAACAUGUCCAAUAAUAUUGCACAUGUUAGACAAACCUAAUAAUAAUAAUAAGGUUUAAAUAUGUUGUUAGACUAUAUCAAAAAAUAUAGUAUAUGUUAUUGGUCUUGUAUCACAUUUUCAUAUUAAUCCCUAUAGUUUUUUUUUAUUUGGUUUGAGUUCCCACACUUUCAAAAGUUUUGGUUUUAGUCCCUACUAUUGGUGUGGUGUUAAAAAAAUAAAUGAAGACACGUUUCAUAAGUUUUUUUUUUAUCUGCUUACAUCUAAAACUUAAUUAUGAUGUCGAAAUUUCUCAUACUUGUGUAAUAGUAUUUUUUUCCUUCAAAAUUGCAAGUACGUAAACUCAUUUACCAGGGACAAAUUUAACACUAUGUAAAAUCAAUUCACUUCCUCCUGCGUGAAUUCAUUUCAUGGACAUGAUUUUAGUAAAUAAAAAAAAUCGUGAAAUUAGAUGCAAGUAUUUUAUGUGCAAUUGGGUUGCAUGUGGUGAAAAAAUUAUUUUUCAAAGAAUUUAAUUUAUAUAUAUAGUUGGUGUAAAAUUAUUUUACACAUGCGUUCAAUAAUAUACCGACACAUCACGUAUGAUAUUUAAAAACAACAUGGUGUGUCACAUUCAUUAAAUGAUGUGACGAAGCAUCAUUGAAUGUAUGUGUAAGAAAUCUUUACACUGACGGUGCACAACAAUUAAACUCAUUUUCAAAUUCAGGGUGUAACCAAAAGUAUUUGAAUUUUUCUCUUUCCACCCCCCAAUGUUUCUUCCAAGCCCCUUGAAAUUCCAAUUUUACCCUUAUAAAUAGUUUUUAGAAAAGGUUUUCCAAAAUUUAUAUUUUUUUGGAAUCAAUUUUUCAAAAUAGACUUAAAUGUAAUUUUUAGAUCUAUUUAUUUCCAUUCACAUUCAAUUGUUUCAUAUUCUAUUUUUCAAAAAGUUAACUAUUUCGGAAAAAAUUUCCAAAAUUCAAAUAUUUUGGAACGCAGAAUCCAAAUUUUUUUUGGAAAACAUUUUCCAAAGUGAUUUUGGAAAACGUUUUCGGAAAUCCUGUUAUCUGUGAUCAAAACUGCAAAUGUGCUGCUCUAACCUAAAUUUUCGUCGGUCUAAAUCAUUUUUUAUUCUAUUUUUAACACUAAUCUGUAUCCAAAAUAUAAUUGUGUUGAUGAAUGAGAGUUAUGCACACUUGCAGACGGGCAUAUAAUGUUUUGCAGCAAACCUGAAUUAAUUAAACAAAAUAAUUAACAUAUGAGAAGCUUGCGAAAGAUAGAUAAAAUUUGAUAAAUAUUUUGACUAAAAAGUGAUUGAGACCGAUGAAAAAUAAAGUUAGAAAAUAAAGUCACCUCAAGUGAUUCAACAGAAAGAAAAAAAAAAGGGUAAGGUUUUUGGUACCGGAGAGUCCAAAAAUAGACUCAGAAGCAAAAGAAGAAUUAGAGGAAGUGAUGGAAGCAAGAGAAGCUGGAAUAGCUUACAUUAUAGGACAUUCAUACAUGAAGGCUAAACCAGGGUCUAGUACUAACUAUUAAUUUUGUGUAUCAUUUGUGUCACAUUUUCUUUUCAAAUACUCCAUUUGGUAGUUGAGUGAGUCAUGAUAGACUUAUAAGUCAAGGGUCUCAUGGAUUCAAAUCCCACUAAGGUUCUUUUUAUUUGAUUAUUUUCAUGUCAUUUUUUUUUAUUGUUUUUAUGUAAAAUAAUAAAAAAAUCCAAAAAAUAUGUCAUGUAAGUUUUUAUAUUUAUUCAGAAAAUCCAAAAAAGAUGUUAAUUAAUACAAGCAUAAUUUUUUUUUGUCAAGUAGUCUAAUAUUUCACUAUUAAGAUAAAUAAGUGAAGUGUCCGAAAUUCAANNNNNNNNNNNNNNNNNNNNNNNNNNNNNNNNNNNNNNNNNNNNNNNNNNNNAUUAAGUAAGUUUUUAUUUUAAUGACCAUUUUUUUCCCGAGGGGUGCUAUAUGACACGACACUCUCCCGGCACGAAAUUGCACGACCUGCACAAAGUCUAUGCAAUAUACUCACUUUUUUUAUUUAUUUACAAUGAGCUGGAGAUCGAACUCACGACCUAUGACGUACUACCCAAACUCUUUACCACUAGACCAAACCUAGUGACUUAAUAUACUCAUCUAAUAAGCUUAAUGCUGGUUUAUCUGAUUAAAAAAUAAAUAACAAACUAAACAUUGUUAAUAUACCACCAUCACCGUUAUUAGAUACAGUUAAAAUCAAUGUUUUCUAAGUAUGGAGUAGAGGUCAAAUACUAAAACUCUUUAACCGCAAGAAGAUACACUUAUCAAAGCAUCACUUACUUGGAAAAUAAAUCAUGAGCUAGCUAGGAUUAAUUUGUAGUGUAGAACCAUUAGAAAAAUAAUCAUUUUAAUUCAAAUCAAAUCAAAUAAGAGAAACAAAUAGAAUAGUAUAGAAAACACUUCCUUUUUCCUUUUAUCAUCAUUAUUAUUAUCAGAACAGAAAAAAGGAAAAGAUCAAACAACGACAAGAGCAAAGCGUGCCUCUUCUUCCUGAUUUUGUCAGUUCCACUUUUUCCAAACAAGGCUUUAACCUUCACCAAUUUUACACUACAAAGAAAAGCACACAUCACUUUUUUUCUUCUUUUGCUUUUGCAAUCCCAUUUUUUCUUCCAAAACACAAAAAUCCAAUUCACCAUUAUCCAAUAAGUACAAGAAUUCAUCAUCAAUCAACUCUAUAAAUCAGAGCCAAAACAAUCAAUCAAAAAGAAGGAACUGCAAGCACUGGUGCUGCUCCUAUCCCUCCCCGUUUUUCAGCUUUCUUUUUCCAAAAUUAAGCCAUAAUCUUCACCAACAAUACAAGCAAUCAAAAAGCUUCAAUCACCCACCUUUUAUCUUUGCAAUACCAAUUUUUCUUCCAAAGCACCACCAUCUUUAUCUUCAAUCUUCUACCUUCAAUAAUCAUAACCAACAUCUUUAUCUUCACCACUUUCAAGUUUCAAACCACUCCCAAAUCACCAUUAACAACCUCUAAUCCAACAUUCAAACCAAAAAGAAACAGAACAAAGAAAAAUCAAAUAAAACUUCCAUCUUUCACCCCACGUCUACCAACCUAAAAUCCAUUCAAACCACCUUCUGAAAAUCACAAUACCAACCACUGUAACAACAAUCAACACCACCGGUUUCUAUCAUUUUGAACCAAGGAGGAAUUUUUCUUUAGCCGCAGGUCAAUUUUCUUUCUCUGCAUCGUGUUUAUUUUCUUAUUGUUUUAAGUUUUUUUAUUAUCAUUAAUUUUGUUUACUUAUUUAUGUUAGUGGGACUAAUGGCUGAUUUGUAGUUUUGGGCCUUAACCCAUUUAGUUUACUUGCACCCCCUUUUAAUUUACUUCUUCUUUUUUUUUUGACAACAAAAAAAAAAUAUAGAAAAACAAAGAACAAGAACACAAAAAGAUUACUUAUUUAUGUUAGUGAAGAAGAACAAGAACAACAUCGUUUUUGUUUGAUUCUUUUUGUUUUGUUCAACAUAUCCAAGUUGUGUGUAGAAUAGAAAAGUUCUGUCUCACUUCAUGCUUCUUUUCAUAUGGCAUUUUGGAUCUCAAAUGUGAUUCUCAAAGAUUGCAAGGAAGAAAGAUUUAGCAUUAGCAAAGCCUCAAGUUACAUGUGUAUCAUCAUAUCUUCAUUUUUUUUGUGAUUCUUCUUUUCCCUCCUCAAUAAUGCAUGGCAUUUAGAAUUAUUUGAUUGUUCUUUGUUUUUUCUUUUAGUUCCCUAUUUUUUUUCCCUAUGUUUCAAUGGGAUGGGUGCUUUUUUAUAUCAUAUUGGUUAUUACCAUUCUAAUCUAAUCAGCCCACAUUUUUGUUUUAUCAACACCCACUAAAAGUAUAUAAAUUUUUAUAAUUUUUGUCUUCAGAUAAAUGAUUGUUAUGUUGUCAAAGGGGUACUUAAAUUAUUUUACAUGUUUUGUUAUUGGAAGAUCAUUGAAAUUGUUAUUUUGCAGAUUUAUGGACCAAGUGUUGUGGUUGUGGUUAAAAAGUCUACAACGUAUGCUCAAUAUUAAGUCUUCAAAUGCCAGCAGCUGAAAUUUUUCAGUUUGAAGGAGUCAUUUUUAAUGAUUAGACUGGUUAACGAAGGCGUGGGUUAAAGGUAAUGUUUUCCUAAGAGUUUACUUUCAGCAUUUUUUUUUCUAUCUCAAAACAUUUAACCCCUCACUUACCCAACCACCCACAGAGAUUCACCACUUCUAUUUCAGAUCGGACGGUCUAGGUGAGUAACUGCGUGACGCAGUUAUGGCACCAAAUCCAUUUCCGCCACGACUGUUGUAGAAAACAACACAGUUUUCACACAGUAGUUAAUCUGAGCCGUUGAUCAUAGAUCANNNNNNNNNNAAGUUAUAUAUGAUAAAAUCAAUUAAAAAUCACUGUGUCCAUCUAUUUCAGAUCGGACGGUCCAGGUGAGUAACUGCAUGACGCGGUUACCGUACCAAAUCCAUUUCCGCCACGACUGUUGUAGAAAACAACACCGUUUUCACACAGUAGUUAAUCUGAGCCGUUGUUCAUAGAUUAGACGGUCAAAGUUAUAUAUGAUCAAAUCAAUUAAAAAUCACCGUGUCCAUCUAUUCAGAUCGGACGGUCCAGGUGAGUAACUGUGUGACGCGGUUACUGUACCAAAUCCAUUUCCGCCACGAUUGCCGUAGAAAACAACACAGUUUUCAUGCAAUAGUUAAUCUGAGCCGUUGAUCAUAGAUCAAACAGUCAAAAUUAUAUACUCUCUCCGGUCCUUUUAAUAUAAGAGAGAUUUCACUUUUUAGAUUUAUUAAGAAUCUAAUAUAUCUAGUUCAUACACCCCUUUCUCUCCGUAAAAUGCAUUUAAUCUCUAAAAUUGCUUUGGAUCUAUUCUUGCCUUCUUGUUCUUCUUCAUUAGUCUUCUCUCUCAUGUAAGUAUCGUCAAACCAGUUAGAUCUAGCUCCACAAAAUUUGAAAGAAAUUAUUGUAUGCCUUUGAUUGAGACCACCACAGGCAAAGUGACAGAGAAGCUUGUAGCGACGGCGGUUGUGCUAUGUGGAUGUGUUAUUAUACCCUUUAUUUAUUUUUUCAGAUUUACCAUUUCUGGUAUUGUUGAAACUUCAUUUUUACAGAUUUUCCUUCUUCCUCCUUUUCUACCAAUUUCUGCAACUUUUAUUAUAUUUUAAUGAUAAGCAACAACAGCUCCAAGGUUGCAUUCUGAAACAACUGAUAGGAAAAAAUAAGCAACACAGACCUCCACGUAGGUAAGCAACAACAAGCUCCAAUGCUUAAAAGUUAAGGUAUAGAACUUGGGCCUCCACGUAGGUAAGCAACAACAAGCUCCAAUGCUUAAAAGUUAAGGUAUAGAACUUGGGCCUCCACGUAAUCACUAAGGAACCUGCGUUGGAGCUGUUCUUAUACUCUUACAGUUUUUUUAGGGUGCCGAUCAUGGACAGUGCUGAUUGAAGAAAACGAGAAUAAGUUCACGACACUAGAAAAAUUAUUUAAAAUUUAAAUAAAAUUAAUAAUCAGGAAUAAGUGGGUCCGCCCCUUAAAGGCCCUUUUUACAGCUCUACUCUUACUACAUAUGUUACACAUCUUGGGUUCUUUCUCUAAGUUGAACUAACGUCUGUUUUAAGGACACAACCUUAGCCGUUCAUCUAACAAUCUACUGUUCUACAAGAACGGAAGUUUAAGAAUCUAAAGUUUAUGAAUCUAGUAGUAGAAAAAUUAAGACAAUCUGAUUAAUAUUACUAGAAGUCUGUAGCUAUGCACAUAAGCUACUUAAAAACUCUUGCCAAGAAUUCACUAAGUUCUCCAUAUUUCUUCCUCAAGCUAUAUGUUAAUUCUCCGCCAAAUUUAAAUUUCUCUUUUGUUUGUUUCUAAAUUCCACUCCGCGAUUGUUAAUUCCGAAAUUUGGUGUCGUCGUCUCUUUACGCGCCAUGAAAUAAAAAUUGGUUAUGGUUUUCACAAUGUCUGAAAUGUGUUCCAUUUCUAUUUGGAAUCCAAUUCUAUUGGAUUUUUGCCAUUCUCCACCCAAUUUAAUUUCAUUAUGAAACCUGCAAAAAAUUUGUAAUAGAUGAAAUAAUUAGUUUAUGGUUCAUUGCAUAACUAUCUAAAAUUUUAUUCGUUAAUUACUUACACAUUAACAGCCAAAUUUAAGAAACCGCAAUCAAUUUUAAAUUUUCCAUGGAUAGUAAUUGACCAUCUAAUGCAUCCGACGCUUAGGUGCGUAUUACAUUCCAAUCGCUCCACAACUCGUAAACCCCCCAAAAUUGUCAAUUAUCUCCCACCAAGUUCAAUGAUACCCUUCAUCACUUUGUUCACCGGGAUGUCCAAAUGCAUAUAUGUCAAUGGUGAUGAGGGAACUUCCACCUUGUAGUUAAAUUCUUGCAUCUCGUAUUAGAAACAGUUAAAUCUAGAUGUCAAACAUCAAGUAAAAUAAAAGUUUAUUUUACUUGAUGUUUCACAUCUAGAUUUAACUGUUUUUAAUACGAGAUGCAAGAAUUUAACUUCAAGGUGGAAGUUCCCUAGUCACCAUUGCCACCUAUGCAUUUGGAUCCGAUGAACGUAGUGAUGAAAGGUAUCAUUGAGCUUGGUGGGAGUUCAUUGAUAAUUUCAUGGGGUUUAUGAACUGGGGAGUGAUUGAAAUGCAAUAUGCAUUUACGUGUCGGAUGCAUUGGAUGACCGAUUACUAUCGGUGGGGAAUUGAAAUUCGAUUGCGGUUUCUUAAAUGCGGCUAUUAAUGUGUAAGUAAUUAAUGUAUAAAAUUUUAGAUUGUUAUGCAAUGAACCAUAAACUAUUUAUUUCAUCUAUUACAACUUUGUGCAGGUUUCAUAAUGAAAUUAAAAUGGGUGGAGAAUGGCAAAAAUCCAAUAGAAUUGGAUUCCAAAUAGAAAUGGAACACAUUUCAGGCAUUUGGAAAACCAUAACCAAUUUUUAUUUCAUGGCGCGUAAAGAGACGACGACACCAAAUAUCGGAAUUAACAAUCGCGGAUAGUUAACAAUGGAAUUUAGAAACAAACUAGAGGAGAAAUUCAAAUUUGGCGGAGGAUUAACAUUGAGGAAAAAUAUGGAGAACUAAAGUGGACCAUUGACAAGAGUUUUUGAGUAGCUUAUGUGUAUAACUACAUACUUUUAUUUAGUACUAUUAAUCUAGAUUGUGUUGCUUUUUUCUACUAUUAGAUUCUUAAACUUCUGUUCAUGUAGAACAAUAGAUUGUUAGAUGAAUUCAUAUAAAAUUACGAGUUAGUACUAUUAAUCUAGAUUUUGUUACUUUUAUCUACUAUUAGAUUCUUAAACAUCUGUUCUUGUAGAACAGUAAAUUGUUAGAUGAAUUCAUAUAAAGUUAUGAUGAUUGUUAUGUAAAUGGAUUAAAUUCAUGACAUUUUCACUGGUUUAAUCAUACAACAAUUAAACCAUAUACAUUUAAACUAAUGUAAUCAUAAAUUUACAUAGCAAUUAAGCAUUUACAUUUUUGUCCACCAAAAGGAAAUUUAGAUUUCCAGCAGUUUUGUUGCCUUUUGCCGUUGCUUCCAUUUAUAAACAUGGAUUGAAUUUCUUAAUUCUCACUUUCAAUCCAACUUAAUUUUCACUGUUUCCCCUAGUGUAGCGACUGGAAUCAUCUGAGUUAACAUUUGGGGCUACAAAAUCCAGUCCAAACCUCUGAUUUAUUAAAUUGAUUGUGAAAUAUUAUAAUAAUUACAUAAAUUUAAAAUCAAAGUUAAAAAAUUAUCCAUUUUUUAAAGGCUUAAAUAUGUUGUUGGUCCCUGCAGUUGUAACUCAUUUUGAUAUUGGUCCUGUAAUUUUUUUUUUGUUUGAUUUAAGACCUUGCACUUUGAAUAAAAUUGGUUUUAGUUCUGGUUGUUAGUUUGACUGUUACAAAAAUGGAAGAGACUAACGGAGUGCCAUGUGGCAUAAUCAUUUUAUGCCACGUGGCAUAGUCAAAGUCAUACCUAUAUAUUGUUUUUAAAUUUGUUUUAAUAUAUUAUAUUAUUAAUUAAUAAACAUUAAGUAGAUUUUUUUUAAAGAAAAUCAGCAUCACCACAACAUCUCUUCAAACGCAGAAGUCUUCAUCAUCAUCCUGUUAAAUUACCACCAUGUCUUCAUCUUCUACCUCUGAAUUUCACCACCAUCAUCACCAUAUUUUCAUCUUUAUCUUUUCAAUCAAAUAAAAUAAAAGAACAAAGUGGCACAAAGGACAAACAACAAAGAGCACUCUGCCGCUUCCCACUAUGAAACAAACAACAUGAUUACAAGCAGUCACAGAGAGAGUGAUCGUUGCACGAACUCGAACACUAGUUGCAAAAUGCUGACGUGAUUUAGGACCCAGAUUUUGGGUUUAUGGUCUCACUGGUCUAGAUUUCAAUUAUUACGCUUGAACCUGUAAAAAGUUUUGUUAGAAUUUUGACAAAUCUUAUACGCAAAUUAACCUACAAUAACAUGAUGUGAACAAGCUUGUAUUCAAGCUACAAGGUGUCGGAGUCAGACUAUUAUAUUGGGGUAAUAAACAAGCCAGCAUUUUAACAUUCAUUAUGAGAAGAAAAAAUUAAAACCUGAAAAUCAUUCAGUUCAGCAUCACUAAGAGCACCAUCUCUGUCACGGUCAUAAAGGAUAAAAAUCUGCUUCAAAGCCCGCGCAUAUCGAAGUUUUAGAGUUUUUGAAUCCUUAUCUACUAAAGGAGCGGUGGGAUAAAGAGUAGCCUUUUGUGCUAAGAAGAAAACAUCAGAGACCUUCAACAAGGAAAUUUAAUUACAAUUGUAUGAAACAAAAUCCAAAUAUAAUUGUAGCAAUGACCUUUAAAAUAAGAUUUCAAAAAACAGGAAUUUGAUUGCAAUAGUAUGUAUAAAUAAUAAAAAAAUACCUGGAUACUACUAUAUGCUGAACACUGAAUGCAUGCUUCAAUCUCACAGAACUGCUGCAUUAGUUGUGACAUCAUCUGUUCUAGACUCACUUGCUGAUUUUCAUCUUGCAGAUCAAGCUUACAACCAACCACUAUAACCGGAACUUUGACCUGUUCACGAAGUUACUUAAAAUAUAUCUAUCUAUCUAUAUCUAUCUAUCUAUCUAUCUAUGUCAAACAUACUUACAUUCUCUAAAAAGAAAGUUGAGAUGCAAAAACAAGUAUCUUUAAUGCAGAACAAAUUGUGGUUAGAUGUUGAAGUGUUUCAGGCUGAUCACACGCAUAAGUGAGGACUACUGAGUCAGCCUGCUUUAGUUCAUCAUCAACUAUAGCUUUGUCCUCAAGACUACAACAAACAAUAGCAUAGAUAAAAACAUAAUCAUGAAUUCACAAAUAAGAAACAUAAAUGUGAAAAGGUAAUAACAGUUUGAGUCUCAAUUAUGGAUAUGAAUGAAGGAAGUUGUUACCGAGAAGAAGUGUCGAUGAGUUUGAUUGGGAUAGCAUCACAAUAAGGGGGCAAUACAGGAUUCUUAAAGACCCUUGUUCCAGCUUUAUAGCCGGCCGCGACAUGAAUGAGGCUGGAUUUACCGGUUUGACUGUCUCCGGCGACAAAAUACGAACUAUGGGAGGACGACGUCGCUGGAUGGACUUAGAUGAUGAAGCUGUCACUCCCGCCAUCGAUGCACUCAGCAACACGAACAAACAAACCCUAUUCGCAGUGUCAGGUGGUUUCUUGUAAUUUUGGGAAUCUUUUCGUUAAUAUACUGGUAAAAGUAGUUACCAAGACGCUUGACUGUUUAGUCAAAAAAAUGAAAGACGCUUGACUGUUUGAUAGAAUUAAAUAUUUGAUUUUUUCUACUCACACAAAAAUCCAGUUACACCGAAAUUUCAUCAAAAUUUAAUAGUAAUAUCAAUUUUUUUUUUAUCGUAAGUUUGCAUGUCGACAUGGAACGCGCCCUGCCGCAUGUAUAAAUUUUGAAAAAUAGUUUUUCAUCUUUUAAUGCUUCUGUGAUUCACUGUUCUCUCUCAUAAACUCCAUUAAUGAGUCAUUUUUUUAUAAUCAAUGUGUCAUUAAUUUCAAUUAAAGAUUGAAUUUGAAGGUGUAUUUCAUUAAGAGGUAAUUAGUGAGUUUAUACACAUUCAAUUCUAUGGCAUUUUCUAUUUAUUUUUCAUGCGACGACGACAACAACUUGAGGGUUUUUGGUGUGAAUUAACGAGGAAGGAUAUGAAGGCAAGAAUGCGUAAGGUUUUUGGAUUGUAUUGAAAAUUUAAUUUAUUGUAAGGAUAUUUUAGUUGAUCUGGGGUGUAACCAAUUUUUUUUAGUGUGGGUAGAAAAAUUCUAAAUAUUUUAAUAUUUUUACUUUAUGAUUUGUUUGUUUGAAGAGAAAUAAGAAAGAGAUGAAUAGAAGAGAUAAAUAAGAAAGAGACGAUGAUUUCCUCUUGAUUGGAAUGCAGAGAAAUAGGGAAGAGAGAUUACAAAAUCGUGGGACCCACUAUUUUUUUUGUUAAUAAAUCAUGAAUGAGUAUAUGAAGGGUAAAAAUGGAACAACAGAAAAAUUAAGCGACUUCUCGCCCUUUCUUAAUAUAAGGGUGAUCAGAUCAAAUGCAAACGGAGUCAUAAAAUGAACUUCAACAAUAUCAAGUUUCUAGCUACAAUCUGCAACUAAUGUAUUAAUUGAACAUCUGAUAGAACACGAAACUAUAUUAAAAUGCACAUGAAAAUUAAGGUAUUGUAAAAAGAGCGACAUUUAUCUAAUUAUUGAAGCUUAUUAGAGCAAUCACAGUUAACAAAUCAAAGAUUAUAGAUUGCCAAAACAAAUCAAAGAUAAUUAGUAGAACCGAUUCAAACUUCUGCUUUGAAACAGGUAUAGCAAUAUUUACGUAAACGAGGCAUGAUGUCUUAUUUUUUAUAAAUGAGGUAUAGCAAUAUUUUCAAAAUCUUAGUUAUUGGCUUGAAACUUCUAUUCAAAGAUGACAUACAAUAAAUGUGCAAAAAAUGUCACAAAUCCAAAACAUCCAAAUAUACAAAAAGUGAAACAAUAAAAUUAAAACUAGCUUUCAAUCUUCUUAAUCAAAUGUUAAUCUGAAGUCAUAGCAUACAUAUACACAACAUGUAUUAGAUAAAAAUGGUAACCACAUGGGAUAGCAAGAGUGAGGGCGUUGGUUCAAGUCCUUGCUGCAACAUUUAUCCCUUUUCUAUAAAAAUGGCGAAAUAAUUUGACAGCACACGCAGAGUGGUCCAAGCAAAAUGGUGCACAGUGCAUACGAUUGUUUAGAGCUCGUCUCCAAUUUCAACGGCAAGUUCGAAGCAAGCCAAUCGUAUGGUUCAAAGCUUCUACUCGAUUGCUCCGAUGGAUCUCUCCGAAUUUACUCGCUGGAAAUUGAAUCCUGCUCCUCCGAUCAUUCAAAACCUUACUUGCCUGAGAAGAACCUUACUGGUUUCGUGAAGAAGCCUAUUGUUUCAAUGGAAGUUGUUGAAUCCAGAGAGCUCCUUUUAUUAAUCCAUCGCUUUUCAUAGAUUAUCUAGUUUGGAAACUAUAGCAGUUAUCACCAAAGCUAAAUGUGCUAACGUUUUUUGCUGGGAUGAUCGGAGAGGGAUUCUUUGUUUCGCCAGGCAAAAGCGCGUUUGCAUUUUCAGACAUGAUGGUGGUAGGGGAUUUGUGGAGGUGAAAGAGUUUGGUGUACCGGAUGUGGUGAAGUUUAUGAGUUGGUGUGGGGAGAAUAUAUGUUUGGGGAUUAGACGAGAAUAUAUGAUUUUGAAUGCUUCAAAGGGUGCAUUCUCUGAGGUUUUUACUUCUGGGAGACUAGCGCAGCCUUUAGUAGUGCAUCUUCCAUUCGGGGAGUUGCUUCUUGGAAAGGAGAACAUUGGGGUCUUUGUGGAUCAAAAUGGGAAACUUAUUCCUGAAGGCAGGAUUUGUUGGUCAGAGGCGCCCUUGGAUGGAAGUNNNNNNNCCCUUGGAAGUUGUGAUUCAGAAGCCGUAUGCUAUUGCUUUUCUGUCCAGAUUCGUGGAGAUUCGCUCUCUUCGACAACCUUAUCCAUUGAUACAAACUAUUGUUCUACGCAAUGUUCGUCAUCUUUGCCAAAGCAGUAAAUCUAUGAUACUUGCUUUGGAUAAUUCUAUUCAAGGUCUCUUCCCCGUUCCUCUUGGAGCCCAGAUUGUCCAACUAACUGCUUCUGGCAACUUUGAAGAGGCUUUGUCAUUGUGCAAGCUCCGUCCACCUGAAGAGUCAAGUAUACGUGCUGCAAAGGAGGGAUCAUUUCAUAUAAGAUAUGCCCAUUAUAUUUUUGAGAAUGGAAGCUAUGAGGGCUAUGGACCAUUUUCUGGCAUCUCAAGUGGAUAUAACCUAUGUGCUUUCUCUUUAUCCAUCCAUUAUCCUUCCAAAGACAACUAUUGUUCAUGAGCCAGAGAAGUUGGACAUUGAAAGCGAUACUUCCCAUCUCUCCAGAGUUUUGUCAGGUCUUUCAGAUGACGUGGAACCCUCACCAUCUGACGAAACUGCAGCACUUGAAUCCAAAAAAACAAACCAUAAUAUGCUUAUGGCUCUAAUAAAAUAUUUACAAAAGAAGCGAGGUAAUUUUAUUGAGAAGGAAACAAGGGGCGUGGUAAUAUGUCGGUUGGUUCUGGAGCUCGGGAGUUGGCUGCAAUAUUAGAUAGUGCUCUACUCCAUUCUAACUGGACAGUCUUCAGCGGCUUUAGAAUUGCUUAGAGGUGUUAAUUACUGUGAUAUGAAAAUAUGUGAAGAAAUACUUCGGAAAGGUAACCUUAACGUUGCUUUAUUAGAACUUUACAAGUGCAAGUCAUUGCACCGGCAAGCUAUUGAACUUCUUCACAAGUUGGUGGAAGAUCCAAUAGUUCUGGAAUUCUCAAUGUCAGUCUGAAAUCACACAAAGGUUCAAGCCUGAGGACAUCGUUGAAUAUCUCAAGCAACUAACUGAGACAGACCCAAUAGUUCUGGAAUUCUCAAUGCUUGUUCUUGAAAGCUGUCCAUCCCAAACUAUUGAGCUCUUUCUGUCCAGAAUAUACCAGCGGAUAUGGUGAAUUCAUAUUUGAAGCAGCACUCUCCAAACAUGCAAGCUUGGUACUUGGAGCUCAUGCUUGCGAUGAAUGAGAAUGCCAUAUCUGGCAAUCUGCAAAAUGAAAUGGUAAACAUCUACCUAUCUGAAGUACUUGAUUGGCAUGCCGACUUAAAUGCUCAACAAAAUUGGGAACAGAAAACUUUCACCCCAACUAGGAAAAAUUUAUUGUCGGCUUUAGAAGGUAUAUCAGGAUACAAUCCAGAGGUUCUGCUGAAACGUCUUCCUGAAGAUGCUUUAUACGAAGAGCGUGCAUUAUCGUUGGGAAAAUGAACCAACAUGAUCUGGCGUUGUCUCUGUAUGUACAUAAGCUUCAUGUUCCAGAAUUGGCAUUAUCCGAUUGUGAUCGGGUGUACGAGUCUAUGCAUCAGCCAUCUGUAAAAAAUUCAAGCAACAUAUAUGUAUUGCUUCUGCAAAUCUAUUUGAAUCCUCGAAGGACCACAGCAAGCUUUGAAAAGAUAAUUUCACAUCUAUUAUUAUCCCCACCAAGUUCAGCCAUUUCUAGAGUUAGUUCAACAUCUGUAAAAAGUAAAGGAGUCCGAGGAACCCAGAAAAUUGCUGAGAUUGAGGGUGCAGAGGACACAAAAGUUAGUUUGAGCAGCACUGACAGUAGCCGGAGUGAUGGUGAUACUGACGAAUUUAAUGAGGGUGGCUCUACUAUCAUGCUUGAUGAGGUCCUUGAUAGUGACUAGUGUUUUUGCUGUCUACCCUAACGGGAGCACUCUUGUGCACAUCGUCUGUUUUAAAGAUUCUCAGAAUAUGAAAGCAGUGACCAAAGGGUCUCAAUUGAGGAAGCGAUAAUAAUGAAACUGUGGCUAUACGGCUAAUACCAAUUAAUUGAUGAUCCAGCUGCCUUGUUUUCCCAUGGUACUUGCUGGUUGGUGGAUUAUGAUGACAAUUUCACUGUAAUUUGUCUUCUGAAGCUUGUUUCUUUCUAGUUCAUUAGUGUGAAAAAUGAGUUUUGAUAUGUAAAGAGCGCGAUGUGUUUUGUUUGCCUUUGUUUCCCCCCUAAUUUUCAAACUGUGUUGUAUAAUUGUAUCAUUAUCACAAUUUUUCUACAUUGACAUGUAUUAUUCUUGUCACUAUUAAGUGUUGCUUUAAAAUUUUAAAGUUAAAAAAAAUAUACACAAACAUGUAUUGGCUUAUUUCUAAUCAGAAAGUUUGGAUGCUAUCAUAAUUCCGAGACGUGUCAUUCACCACAUUAAAUAUCUAUUUAUCAAACCCAUCCAACAAUUAUGUACAACAAUAUGCAUGUGCAAUUCUGUAUAUGACCAUGCAAAUUAAUAAUAUAAUGAAAAAUACCACAUUUGACUCUUCUAUAGCCAUUGUAAAUGAAUCCUGAUCAUCUUUAUCUGCAACUAUGAGACAGGGCAUCUGAAAGCCAGUGUCUUUUCCAUGACCAGCGAUUUUUAACAAGAGUUCAGAUGAUGCCCACCAUGAAGACUCAUCAGACCUAAAAUGAAUAUUUAGUCAGCUGAGCUCCAUGCAACCGACAUUUUUCUAGGUACUUGGUAUAAUGAAAUUAUAGUUAACUUAGAAACCCAUAGAUGAGUUGUAAAUUUGACAUUAUGAAUACCAUGCAAACACAUAAUGUCUUAUAAAUCUUAUUUUUAAUUUGUUUGAAGCUUCUGUUUGUACUCCUCCCGAGUUCCAAUUUCAAUUAUAAACAAAAAAAAAAGCGUUUAAUGCUAAAAAAUAUAGGUAAAUUUAAUUACUUUCACCCCAGUCAAAAGAUGUAAUCCCUAAUUAAUAUAAUUUAUAUUUUGCAACAACGGUUGUUCUCAUGGAAAAUGUUCCCAUAAGGUGAGAGGAUUGUCUCUUCUUUAUAAACAUAUAUUCAGACCAUCUCGCAAUCGAUGUAGGACUUCUUAAGAGACCACAAAUUCUCGGUUGAUUUUUCAAACAAACAAUUAUAAUCCCUUCGGUCUCUAUUAUACACAAAAGUAUCUUAUUUUACACUAAUUAAGAAAAUUAUUAAAUCUAAUUAUUUUUCUUCAUGUUAUCAACAAAAAAAUUGUAUUUCAUACAUCCCUACAAAACCAAAUUUAUAUGGUGAGGAGUGCCUCCUCUUUAUAAACACUUCUCAAGAAUCCUAUCUAUCCAAUGUGGGACUAAAUUCCACCGAGUGUAACCAAUGAAGACUUUGGUGCAAGAAAAGGUGAAAGAACUGAAAUGUCUUUCUCUGUCACAGUAAGAAGCUAUUGUCAAACGUCAAUCAAGUAUCAAUUACCCUAGAGAUAUCAACAUUAUUUACUGUAUAACGAUCCUCAUUGGUUGGAUUGUAAACUUCAGAAUUUGGCCUGCAUUAUGAAUUUCAACUACAAUAAGAUGAAGCACUGCAAUACAUUUUAUUUUGUUACAGAGAAACUCAUCGUGGUUGUGCGUUUCUAUUUAAUAACAUACCGAAUCACCAUCAAAUUCAUUAAAGAUUGUCACCAAGAAACCAAUUGCUUGAUUUGUCAAUUCAACGCACUGUAGAAAUUAAAUUCAAUGAGAAUAGAAUAAAAUAUGUUCCCUAUUGUCAACAAAUUGAAUACAAACAGGUAUAUAUAGAACAUAAUAUAUGAGGCCACAAUUCAUCUCAAAAGAAACACCUGAUCAGGUGCACUCUAUGAAAACGGCAUGAAGAAACAGAAAUCCUGUCAAAGUAAUAUAUACGUGAAUUGGUAGCUUGCUAUCAGUUUGUUAUCUUGUUACUUUACAUUUCCUUCCACCAUUGCUACACUUGUAAUUGUCCCCUGUUUCAUUAAUACAAUUACAUUUCCCUUUUCCAUACUUAAUUUCUCUGUUAUUUUCAUUAUCUUAUACAAAAGUUAACAUACAAUAACAUGAUGGGAACAAGAUUGUAUUCAAGCUAAAAGGUGUCAGACUAUUAUAAACAAGCCAUCAUUGUGACAUUUAAUAUGAAAAGAAAAAUUAAAACCUGAAAAUCAUUCAGUUCAACAUCGCUAAGAGCACCAUCUCUGUCUCGGUCACAGAGGAUAAGAAUCCGCUUUAAAGCCCGCGCACAUCAAAGUUUUAGAGUUUGUGACUCCUUAUCAAAUAAAGCAGCCAUGGGAUGAAAGGCAGCCUUUUGCGCUAAGAAGAAAACGUCAAAGACCUUCAACAAGGAAAUUUAAUUACAAUUGUGUGAAACAAAAUCCAGAUAUAAUUGUAGCAAUGACCUUUAAAAUAAGAUUUUAAAAAACAGAGGAAUUUGGUAUAAAUAAAAAUAUACGUGGAUACUACUAUAUGCUGAACACUCAAUGUAUGCUUCAAUAUCGCAGAACUGCUGCAUUAGUUGCGAUCACUUAUUCUAGGCUCAUCUGCUGAUUUUCAUCUUGCAGAUCAAGCUUACACCCAACCACUAUAACCGGAACUUUGACCUGUUCGUGAAGUUAAAAUAUCUAUCUAUGUCAAGCAUACAUACAACAGUGGUUCCUUCCAUUGCAAGAAACGGAAAGAUCCGAAUCUGUAAUUGGCGAAGACAAGGGAGCCAAAAAGUGGUUAUAUUUUGAAGUGUCUGAGGCGAUCACAUGCAUAAGUGAGGACAACUGAGUCAGCCUGCUUUAGUUCUUGAUCAACUUUAUCACUGUCCUCAAUACUGCAACAACAAAAUCACAAGAAGAAUAUUCCGAUCAGGGUAAACAUUUCCCUAUGCUAAAGACAUAAGAAUGAAUUCACAUUUCAUUUAUUUUUGGUCGAGUAGCCACUAGAAUGUCACACUUAAGGUGAAUAAGUUAAGUAUCCGGGACGGGGAAUAAGUGACGUGUCCGGGAUUUAAACCCAGACUCUUGCAUAUAUAAUGCAAUAAUGUGAUGUCCCCACUAACUAAGCUAAGUGACAACUCGCAUUUCAUUUCUAAUUAAGCAAAUAAGAAACAUAAAUGUGAAUUAUACAACCGGCUUAAUCUGGAUGUAUCUCAUGAAUAAGCACAUCUAGAUUUAAGUCUUGAAUUUCCAUAAAGAGAUUAACUUCUACCAUCAAUUGUGGAUAUAUUUGUGAGUUUCAUCAAUUAUGCCAUGGUAAUUUGUGUCAAAGUCACCUUCAGUGGCAAGAGCAUGAUGUGUAUUGUGGUUUUGCUUGUAUUCCAAAUGGGGCCCAUAUAUAGUACUGAGCUUCACAUGACAGUGCACAUUUCUUAGUAUGAUGACAGAAACAUGAAUGAAUACGCAAGAAAACAUCAUGGAAAGAUGCAGUCUAAUAUUCCAAUGACAUUCAUAAGAAUUUAUUGACUUAAGAAUAUAUGCGUAUGUAAGCAGCAGUGCAACACUUUGACAAAAAUUGGAUCCAUAUAAAAGGGAACAAGAAACUGAUGUUGCAAGAUAAUCAAUACCUUACCAGAAAACAUGUUGUUCAACUUUCCAAAAGUUUCCUUUAUACAUGCAUCUCACUGCACCCAACCACAUCUGUGUGGCAUUCUUCUGACUGUUGAUGGUAGCAUAUGGGACUAAAAGAAGAGAAUAAGGAUUCAUCUUUUUGCUAGUCUUUGGAUUAGAAAGUUCGGUUUCUAGUUGAGUACAAGAGACUAAGGCAAAUAUGAUUAAAAUAUGCUCCACACCACCAAUGGGCAUUGUCAACUUUUGACAGUUAAACAAUGAGUCCCCUAUCGCAGCAAGUUCAGCUUGAUGUUGAGUUAAUUUGAAGAACUCGCGUGCAACAGCAGUCACACUAGUGUUGUGAUUAACACAAUGAUUACCUCUUGGUAAUGAUUGAAGUGAUGUGUUUAAGGUAGGAUCAGACUUUGUUAAUGACACAAACUUGGUGCACAAAAACAUCACUAUAUCACUUUCUUCACUAGCAAACAGUGGAAAAAUAGCAAUACCAAUAUCUUGGAUCUCUUCCGCGAUACGAAACGUACCACCUUUGCCACCUUUGAGAAGUGUGUUAGCAGGGAUUGAAGGUCUGGAAAUGAAGUAAGAAUGACUCUUGUCAUCAACACUAACGAUAAUAAACACACGACCAAGAUCCUGCAAUUCAACAAUGUUGGCCCCAACUUUCAUGUAAUUAGUGGAAGAUGCAGCACAAACAUCAAUUUGAAGCUGGGUGGUGAAGUUNNNNNNNNNNNNNNNNNNNNNNNNNNNNNNNNNNNNNNNNNNAAAUGUAUAUGAGAUAUAUCCGCCAUUAACAAUCACAGGGAGAUCUCUGUUGACUGACUGUUGCAGCAAGUAUCAGAUCCAUUGCUUCAGUGAAAUUAUGAAUAAUCUUCACAAAAUCUAUGCAAGUUCGGUGGGGAUUUUCAACGAACAUGUGUUGGGCAACAGAAAAAAACCCAGCUCGGAAAUAAUUAUUAGGUUCACGUGUGCCACAAUCAGAAAAUCCAUGAUCACAUAGUAAUUUGAAACUCGAUGCAACAACACAACUAUAUCUGAUACAACCAAUGGAUUUGAAACAGACUUAAUGACUGAAUCAACUUCCGAAUUUGGACCCAAAGUAUAUGAAAGCUCCCCAAGCAUUCCAAAUGAUCUCUCGUUGAUCCUGCAUAACUAGACAUGGCAAUGGGGCGGGGGCGGAUUUUGCCCUCGCCAAACCCAAACCCAUAAAGUUCGGGUUUCCCCAAACCCUUGCCAACCAUUCCUUUAAGUUAAAGUUACUGAGUUAGUUAUAUUGUAUGAGUGCAGUUUUCUCAGCCAUAUCAGGAUUAGAGCUUUCAAUGUCCAAGGAGCAUCAUACUUGUAAGUUUUAUUGCCAAUAGUAAUUUAUCUCUCUUUUUCUCAGUUCGGCGGCAGUGUUUCUUUAUAUUUUUGUUGGAAUGUUUGUGAGGAAACUGUUUAAAGGAUGAAACAUGAUGUUGAAUUUUUCUCUGCACGUUUAAGGUGUGACAUAUAUUUGUGUCCUUGAAAGUUUAAUUUCACAUGAUCACAUGUGAUGUAUUCCCACACUCUGAGCUGCAUACAUGUACUGUAUGUAUGCUUUAGGCAUAUAACUUAAAUAACAAGUGCAAUGUGUUUGAUUGGGCAGUGACAUGAUGAGCUGGAACUUUGAAGUUUGAACUGUUGGAGUUUUCAUUAAUGGUCGUUCUUAAUCUCAAAAGGUGUCAUUAAUUAGUUGAAGCAAGGGUUAUAGGGCUAAUGUCAUUUCAAAAGAUGUUUUUAAGAUCAAUUCUGCUGCAAAAAGGUGCUAUGUUGUUGCUAACCGGAUAUUGAUGAGAAACAACAAAACACUACUUAUCAAAUAAUGCUAAAAUUAUGAGUGGAUAUUUGUUGAGUAUGGCUCAAGUUACUGAUAAGUGGGUUGUUGUUAUGAAAUAUGGCAUUGUUCAUUGUUUGCGUUUUUUGCUUCUUUAUCCUUUUAUGCGACGUUUUUGUCAAUUCAACAUUGUACUAUUUUAUUUGUCGAGGACACAAGGAGGAAUCACUUGAAAAAUUGACUUCUUUUAACAUGCAGACCCAUCUCAAAAUUUUAUACUUUUGACAAAUUAGAAUUUGGUUCUUGAAUAAUGAACUUAUGAGAAAGAAUUAAAGAAGCCAAAAGAAGUGUUGCCGUCCUAUUAUUCCUUAAUUUUUUUCGUCCAUUCUAUGUCUUUUUUUUACUUUUAUCUGCAAUUCAAAUUUUGACGCCACUCUGCUUUAUCUGAAAGAUGUGUGGCACAUUCCUCACUGACAUUGCUUUCGAAACUUGUUACUGACAGAUGUAGAAGUUCCAGCUGCAUGCAUCAUAUUGUUAGGCUUGUUUGCGCUUCAACAUUUCGGCACGCAUAGGGUUGGCUUCUUAUUUGCUCCGGUAGUUAUUGCGUGGCUAUUUUGCAUCAGUGCCAUUGGAAUAUAUAAUAUAUUCUUCUGGAACCCUCAGAUAUACCGUUCACUUUGUCCAAUUUAUGCCUUACAAUUUAUUCGGAAAACUCAAACUGGAGGUUGGAUGUCCCUUGGUGGAGUUUUGCUGUCCAUAACAGGUCUGUAUGUUUGGUUGAUGGUAACUUAUAUUUUAUGCCGUUAUUCUCACCAUUUCUUUUUCACAUAUACAGGAUCAGAAGCCAUGUUUGCUGAUCUUGGGUACUUAUCGCAAUUAUCAAUCCAGGUAUACUAUUUCAAAUUUGGUUUGUUUAAUAGAGUAUAAUCAAAUGUAGCUGAUAUUCCAUAUAGCAAUCUGUUUGGAUUUGUUAUGUCUUGCAAUUUCAAUCUGUUUGAAUUUGUUAUCUCAACUGGAUCACUCCAAAAGUUGUAAUGUAUCUACCUUGAUAUGAUAAGUGUUAACAUCGCUUCUAAUAUUAGUUUAAGGCCCUAUUUGGAGAACCAUCUUAAUAAAGUGCUCAUAGCAUAAACACUUGUCAUAUACUGGUAACUAGUAAGUACUUAUAUUUAGACUCUUUCUAUUAUAACAAAGAAAAAAUAAAGAUCAAAACAACUUAUGAGCAUGUCAUAAGCUGUUUCUACAAGCUCUCCCAAAUAGUCUCACAAGUGCUUAUGCCAGUAGAUAAGCUCAAAUAAGUCAUUCCAAAUAGGAUCACAGUCAUAGUUAAAUAGCUUUUGGAAAUGCUUAUUUAGUUAACAUCUCUUUUGCAGAUUGCUUUUACUUCUGUGGUUUAUCCAUCUUUAAUUCUUCCAUAUAUGGGACAAGCUGCUUAUCUAUCAAGACAUCAUGAAAUUGAGCAUGCGUAUCACUUCGGAUUUUAUGUAUCUGUUCCAGGUAGGUGUUGCAUAACUAAUUCAUUUUUAGGUAGGAUGUAGGUAAUGAAGGGUUUCUCGUCUCAGCUAAUUGACGGUUUUCACGCUUUUGCUUUCCAGAAAAAUUGAGAUGGCCUGUUCUUGUAUUAGCCGUAUUUGCUGCAGUUGUGGAAAGCCAAGGCAUAAUAACUGGAACGUUCUCUAUUAUCAAGCAAUGUUCUGCAUUAAAUUGCUUCCCAAGAGUUAAAGUCAUUCAUACAUCAUCCAAGAUUCAUGGACAAAUAUAUAUUCCUGAGAUCAAUUGGCUAUUGAUGCUCUUGUGUUUGGAUGUUACGAUUGGCUUCAGAAACACGCAGCACCUCGGUCACGCCUCAGGUAUAUGACAAUGAUUUCAAACUACACACAGACACAUUAGUUUUGUAUCAAUAUGAUAAGGAACUAGCAGACUCAAGAGGAUGCAUUUUUCAUAUUAAUUAGCAUGGCUUUUAUGUACUUCAGCAUGUAAUUGGUGAUAUAUUUGAGUUGGGAUAUCAUAGCUGACCUAAUGCUCUUUGCUCAACAGGUUUGGCAGUUAUCACAGUGAUGCUGGUCACCACUUGUUUUAUGUCUCGGUUAUUGUACUAUGCUAGCAUCAGAAUGUUCUCUUUGCGCUCGCAUUUGUUCUCUUCUUCGGUAACCUUGAGUCUCUCUUCUUCUCGGCUUCUCUUACCAAGUUCUUACAAGGAGCAUGGGUGCCAAUUGCAUUGGCGUUUGUAUUUAUGACGGUCAUGUAUGUUUGGCAUUACAGAACACUCAAAAAGUACGAAUUCGAUGUUCAAAACAAGGUUUCCAUCAACUGGCUACUCGGCAUUGCUCCAAGCAUAGGUAUUGUACGAGUGCGUGGUGUCAGACUUAUACAUACAUACCUAGUAUCAGGCAUUCCUGUUAUCUUCUCCCACUUUGUGACCAACUUGCCAGCCUUCCAUCAGAUCCUAGUCUUUCUUUGCAUCAAACACGUGCCGGUUCCGCACGUCAGACCCGAGGAAAGGUUUCUAGUCGGCCGUGUCGGUCCGCGGAAUUUCAGAAUUUAUCGGUGCAUAGUCCGGUAUGGUUACCGCGAUAUCCACAAAGACGAUAUUGAGUUUUAAAAUGACCUUUUAUGCAGCA